UACGUAGGGUGCAGGCGUUAAUCGGAAUUACUGGGCGUAAAGCGUGCGCAGGCGGUCUGCUAAGAGGGAUGUGAAAUCCCCGGGCUUAACCUGGGAACUGCGUUUCUAACUGGCAGGCUUGAGUGUGGCAGAGGGGGGUGGAAUUCCACGUGUAGCAGUGAAAUGCGUAGAGAUGUGGAGGAACACCGAUGGCGAAGGCAGCCCCCUGGGCUAACACUGACGCUCAUGCACGAAAGCGUGGGGAGCAAACAGG
RNAcentral lists this ribosomal RNA (253 nucleotides) under uncultured bacterium. RNAcentral describes it as "partial 16S ribosomal RNA". It matches the Rfam family "Bacterial small subunit ribosomal RNA", at positions 524 to 776 of the family's 1533-position model. The record is from RNAcentral.